GAUGAACGCUGACAGAAUGCUUAACACAUGCAAGUCAACUUGAACUUCGGUUUGGGUGGCGGACGGGUGAGUAACGCGUACAGAACUUGCCUCACAGAUAGGGACAACAUUUGGAAACGAAUGCUAAUACCUGAUAUUAUGAUUAUAUGGCAUCGUAUAAUUAUGAAAGCUAUAUGCGCUGUGAGAGAGCUUUGCGUCCCAUUAGCUAGUUGGAGAGGUAACGGCUCACCAAGGCGAUGAUGGGUAGCCGGCCUGAGAGGGUGAUCGGCCACAAGGGGACUGAGACACGGCCCUUACGCAUACGGGAGGCAGCAGUGGGGAAUAUUGGAAAAAGGACCAAGAGACUGAUCCAGGAAUUCUGUGUGCACGAUGAAGUUUUUAGGAAUGUAAAGUGCUUUCAGUUGGGAAGAAAAAAAUGACGGUACCAACAGAAGAAGUGACGGCUAAAUACGUG
RNAcentral lists this ribosomal RNA (454 nucleotides) under uncultured bacterium. RNAcentral's name for it is "partial 16S ribosomal RNA". It matches the Rfam family "Bacterial small subunit ribosomal RNA", at positions 28 to 507 of the family's 1533-position model. The record is from RNAcentral.